UGUAAUCAAUGAUGCAAACUAUGUUCUUUUAUGAUAUAUCUGUGAUUUUAAUAUAAAAAUUCACCAUCUUUCGGCUGAGAUUGCA
RNAcentral lists this small nucleolar RNA (85 nucleotides) under Cephalotus follicularis. The record is from RNAcentral. Lineage: Eukaryota; Viridiplantae; Streptophyta; Magnoliopsida; Oxalidales; Cephalotaceae.